RNAcentral lists this ribosomal RNA (200 nucleotides) under uncultured bacterium. Its description in RNAcentral is "partial 16S ribosomal RNA". It matches the Rfam family "Bacterial small subunit ribosomal RNA", at positions 29 to 256 of the family's 1533-position model. The record is from RNAcentral.
AGCGAACGCUGGCGGCAGGCCUAACACAUGCAAGUCGAACGGAUCCUUCGGGAUUAGUGGCGGACGGGUGAGUAACACGUGGGAACGUGCCUUUUGGUUCGGAACAACUCAGGGAAACUUGAGCUAAUACCGGAUAAGCCUUUCGAGGGGAAGAUUUAUCGCCAUUAGAGCGGCCCGCGUAGGAUUAGCUAGUUGGUGGG